GAAACAAUGAUUUACUCAAGUCUCUUAUUAUGUUGUUGUACCACCAAAAACUACUGAACACCAUGCAACUAUUUCAGCUAAACUUUUAUAAGUUACAUCCUGAUUCAACAAAUUUCCCUAUAAAACUACUUGAGGUAGCAGAAACCACUAAAACAACUUUGUUACAAUAACAUACAGUUUCCUGGCUCCACCUAAUUACAAAGCCCAAGGUAAAUCCCUGGUAACCACUCCAGUGCAGCAGAAUUCAUUGAACCAUCGCUAGAUAAGCUAGAUGUACAUCCAGAUAUUGAACAAAUUUGACAUCUCUGUAGAAAACUCGCCUGGAAGUCAUUCUUGGCAUCACAGCUGAUUUCAUGUCAAAACGUGUCGAUGCAGCUGAAUUAACUAUCUGUCCCCUCCGAACAUUCAUGCUUUCGAGUCUGCUUCAUCUUUGCCACCAACUCCAUGUGUUGGACAUUCAUAUUUCGGGACAGCGCACUCAUUUCACCUUUCUUUGGGAUUUUGAGCCCCUUCAUCUUACUCCAAAUCUUGGCCUUUGAUGACAACUAAUGAUUUUCUGGUCAUUUAUGUGCAUCAAGUACAUGCCUACAAAAUCUCUUAGAUUUGUGCAUGGAGAAAAGUAGCAAUAGAAAUAGCCAUAACCAAUAAAACUUAUGUAUAUUAGGCUAUCAAUUCAAGGUCUUUUCAGGGUUGGCAACGGGCGAAAACAGAACAAGGCCUGUCAGGCUGCACUUUGGACUGAGAUUUGGCAAUUUCUUGUUUGUGGCUAAUGGCACAUGGAGUUUCGAAUGUUAGCACCAGUUUCCUUCAUCUACUCGAGGAGAUCAAACCAUUGUUCCCUCCUUCAAGCAAACAACCUCCAACCAACACCAAUCUAACCACCAUCAUUGGGUAAUGACAAUGCCCACAAAGUUUGCCUCACUGCAUGAAACCCCCUAUCCCCAUCAUCUCCACCUUACUCUCCCAGACACAAACACUAU
RNAcentral lists this long non-coding RNA (980 nucleotides) under Phoenix dactylifera (date palm). RNAcentral's name for it is "long non-coding RNA (PDAC_LNC006848)". The record is from RNAcentral. Lineage: Eukaryota; Viridiplantae; Streptophyta; Magnoliopsida; Arecales; Arecaceae.